GUGCCAGCCGCCGCGGUAAUACGAGAGGCCCAAACGUUAUUCGGAAUUACUGGGCUUAAAGAGUCCGUAGGCGGCGCAGAAAGUGGGGUGUGAAAGCCCUCGGCUCAACCGAGGAAUUGCGCUCCAAACUCCUGUGCUUGAGGAAUCUAGAGGUGAGCGGAACUGAUGGUGGAGCGGUGAAAUGCGUUGAUAUCAUCAGGAACACCGGAGGCGAAGGCGGCUCACUGGGGAUUUUCUGACGCUGAGGGACGAAAGCCAGGGGAGCGAACGGGAUUAGAAACCCUGGUAGUCC
This 292-nucleotide ribosomal RNA is filed under the name uncultured bacterium. Its description in RNAcentral is "partial 16S ribosomal RNA". It matches the Rfam family "Bacterial small subunit ribosomal RNA", at positions 505 to 796 of the family's 1533-position model. The record is from RNAcentral.